Molecule: ribosomal RNA, 253 nt
Filed under: uncultured bacterium
Lineage: Bacteria
Description: partial 16S ribosomal RNA
Rfam family: Bacterial small subunit ribosomal RNA
Source: RNAcentral
UACGAAGGGUGCAAGCGUUACUCGGAAUUACUGGGCGUAAAGCGUGCGUAGGUGGUUUGUUAAGUCUGUUGUGAAAGCCCCGGGCUCAACCUGGGAAUUGCAUUCGAUACUGGAUAGCUAGAGUUCGGCAGAGGGAAGUGGAAUUUCUGGUGUAGCGGUGAAAUGCGUAGAUAUCAGAAGGAACAUCAGUGGCGAAAGCGACUUCCUGGACCAGAACUGACGAUCAGGCACGAAAGCGUGGGGAGCAAACAGG